Molecule: ribosomal RNA, 498 nt
Filed under: uncultured bacterium
Lineage: Bacteria
Description: partial 16S ribosomal RNA
Rfam family: Bacterial small subunit ribosomal RNA
Source: RNAcentral
AUUGAACGCUGGUGGCAUGCCUUACACAUGCAAGUCGAACGGUAACAGGUCUUCGGAUGCUGACGAGUGGCGAACGGGUGAGUAAUACAUCGGAACGUGCCUAGUAGUGGGGGAUAACUACUCGAAAGAGUGGCUAAUACCGCAUGAGAUCUACGGAUGAAAGCAGGGGAUCGCAAGACCUCGUGCUACUAGAGCGGCCGAUGGCAGAUUAGGUAGUUGGUGGGAUAAAAGCUUACCAAGCCGACGAUCUGUAGCUGGUCUGAGAGGACGAUCAGCCACACUGGGACUGAGAAACGGCCCAGACUCCUACGGGAGGCAGCAGUGGGGAAUUUUGGACAAUGGACGAAAGCCUGAUCCAGCAAUGCCGCGUGCAGGAUGAAGGCCCUCGGGUUGUAAACUGCUUUUGUACGGAACGAAAAGCUUCGGGUUAAUACCCUGGAGUCAUGACGGUACCGUAAGAAUAAGCACCGGCUAACUACGUGCCAGCCGCCGCCGUAA